RNAcentral lists this ribosomal RNA (112 nucleotides) under Aulacochthebius libertarius. Its description in RNAcentral is "partial 16S ribosomal RNA". Lineage: Eukaryota; Metazoa; Arthropoda; Insecta; Coleoptera; Hydraenidae. The record is from RNAcentral.
AUGAUCUGAGUUCAAACCGGUGUAAGCCAGGUUGGUUUCUAUCUUUAAUUUAAUAAAAUAUUUUAGUACGAAAGGACCAAAUAUUUUUUAUAAUAAUUUAAUUUGUGAAUAU